Molecule: ribosomal RNA, 246 nt
Filed under: Laccaria sp.
Lineage: Eukaryota; Fungi; Basidiomycota; Agaricomycetes; Agaricales; Hydnangiaceae
Description: partial large subunit ribosomal RNA
Source: RNAcentral
AAACGCUUGAAGUCAGUCGCGUUGGCCAGGGAUCAACCUUGCUUUUUUUUGCUUGGCUUAUUUCCUGGUCAAUGGGUCAGCAUCAAUUUUGACUGAUGGAAAAAGUUCAAGGGAAUGUGGCAUCCUUUGGAUGUGUUAUAACCUUUGUUCGCAUACAUUAGUUGGGAUUGAGGAACUCAGCACGCCGAAAGGCCGGGUUAUUAACCACGUACGUGCUUAGGAUGCUGGCAUAAUGGCUUUAAUCGA